GACUGGUGGGGGUGAAAAAUAGUGGAGAUUGCGCGAAAGCGUUCAUCGGGAAAAAAAACCGUGAAUAUCGUCAAAAAAAUAGCUAGGCGUUUUCGCGAAUCCGCCAAGAGAGUCAACCGUCCUUCGUUGGACACCGGCGGAACUCGUUUGUGCAGAAAGCCAGCGGUCUGCACGAGGCGGAAAAAAGACGUCGCCUGACGCUUCGGCCGGGGUGGGGAUGUGAAAUCGAUCGCGACGACAUGUUUUCGAUAAAGUGUCCGACGGACUUCUCGGCUCGGCGUUGAAACGAAGAUUGAAAGAGAAAGAGAGACCGCAUCAUCGCCCGUGGUCAUCAUCACGACGACACCCAUCGCCGGCCCGCCCGCCCAGUCAAUAAGAACAUUCGAAGUACAAUUAAAAUUCUGAAAUGAGCUAUCAAAUGCAAGGACAGCAAAACAGAAACAGUAUGUCUCACUCCAAUUACCAAGGGAGUGACCUACCAAUGGGGUCUGUAAAGGAUCAGACUUUACUAUGGCAACAGAACUCUUACCUUGCCGAUUCCGGAAUCCAUUCUGGGGCUACGACGCAAGCCCCCUCCCUUUCAGGAAAGGAAGAAGACAUGGAUGGCGAACAGCUGAUGUUCGAUCUGGAUCAGGGUUUCACUCCCGGCUUCACUCAGGAACAAGUUGAUGAGAUGAACCAGCAGUUGGCCCAGACAAGAUCGCAGAGGGUGAGAGCCGCCAUGUUCCCAGAAACAUUAGAGGAGGGUAUUGAAAUACCCUCAACACAGUUUGACACAUCUCAAGCGACUGCUGUCCAACGUCUGUCCGAACCGAGUCAGAUGCUUAAACAUGCUGUAGUGAAUCUCAUCAAUUAUCAAGAUGAUGCAGAUUUAGCUACAAGGGCUAUACCAGACUUGAUCAAACUAAUGAAUGAUGAAGACCAAGUAGUUGUGUCACAAGCUGCAAUGAUGGUUCACCAGCUGUCAAAGAAAGAAGCAUCACGCCAUGCCAUUAUGAAUAAUUCCCAGAUGGUCGCUGCUUUAGUCAGGGCAAUUUCUAACAGCAAUGAUCUAGAAACAACCAAAGGAGCGGUUGGUACACUGCACAAUUUGUCACAUCACAGACAAGGUCUGCUCGCAAUUUUCAAGAGUGGUGGGAUCCCAGCUUUGGUCAAGCUGCUCAGCUCUCCGAUUGAGUCGGUUCUGUUCUAUGCUAUCACCACUCUUCAUAAUUUACUGCUCCACCAAGAAGGGAGCAAAAUGGCGGUGAGAUUAGCCGGUGGUUUGCAGAAGAUGGUUGCAUUGUUGCAAAGAAACAACGUCAAAUUCCUUGCCAUUGUAACUGACUGUCUCCAAAUCCUGGCUUAUGGAAAUCAGGAAAGUAAACUUAUCAUCUUAGCUUCCCAAGGACCUAUUGAACUCGUAAGAAUUAUGAGAAGCUAUGAUUAUGAGAAACUUUUAUGGACCACUUCUCGUGUUUUAAAAGUUUUAUCCGUAUGCUCAAGUAAUAAGCCUGCUAUUGUUGAAGCUGGUGGAAUGCAAGCUCUUGCAAUGCACCUCGGUCACCCAUCACAAAGGCUUGUACAAAAUUGCCUGUGGACUUUGCGAAAUUUAUCUGAUGCUGGAACUAAGGUCGAUGGGCUCGAGGGUUUGUUGCAGUCAUUGGUCCAACUGUUAGGUUCUGCUGAUGUCAACAUGGUGACUUGUGCUGCUGGAAUACUAUCAAACUUAACUUGUAACAAUCAGAGAAAUAAAGUCACCGUCUGCCAAGUCGGUGGUGUCGAUGCUCUUGUCAGAACAAUCGUGACAGCAGGGGACAGAGAAGAAAUCACCGAACCAGCUGUUUGUGCACUAAGGCAUUUGACUUCAAGGCAUGUUGAAAGUGAAAUGGCUCAAAAUGGUGUACGUCUAAAUUAUGGUUUACAAGUCAUUGUCAAACUGUUGCAUCCUCCGUCUCGUUGGCCUUUGGUUAAAGCAGUCAUUGGAUUAAUAAGAAACUUAGCCCUAUGCCAGGCAAAUCAUGCUCCUUUAAGAGAUCAUGGAGCCAUACAUCAUCUUGUCAGACUUCUCAUCCGGGCAUUCCAAGAUAGUCAACGACAACAACAGAACACAUUGACAAGAAAUAAUGCCGUCAACAGUGGAAACCAGACACCUUCAGUAUAUGCUGAUGGCGUUAGAAUGGAGGAGAUCGUUGAAGGAACAGUCGGAGCACUUCACAUCCUUGCUCGAGAAAGCCAUAACAGGGUCAUAAUACGGGGUCAGCUUGUUAUUCCAAUCUUUGUACAGCUUUUGUUCAACGAGAUUGAGAACAUACAAAGGGUAGCUGCAGGUGUGCUCUGCGAACUGGCUUUGGACAAAGAAGGGGCUGAGUUGAUUGAGCAAGAAGGCGCUACAGCUCCACUCACAGAACUCCUUCAUUCCCGCAAUGAGGGUGUCGCUACAUAUGCCGCUGCAGUGUUGUUCCGAAUGUCUGAAGACAAGCCUCAAGACUAUAAGAAACGACUUUCAAUGGAGCUCACUAACUCCCUCUGUACUGGGAAUCUUUGGAACACUGGCGAUUUAAGUAUGCCACCCGAUCUUCAGGACAUGUUAAGCGAAGACAGUUAUGAUGGUUUGUACACAAACACAGCACCUAGUGUUCAAAGCAGCCAUGGAAGGACAACACCUUUACCAGGCACUUGAACUCUUCCCUUCUCUACAUAACAGAUUUGGUUCUAAAAGUUGAAAUUUUCUAAAACCAAAUGGAUAUGACCAGAUACCAGUAAAUCAAAUGCUGACACUAGGAAGCCCCACGCCACAAGAUAAUUCUGUAUUUUAUCCUAUGGAUAUCGAUG
This 2814-nucleotide unclassified non-coding RNA is filed under the name Cimex lectularius (bed bug). RNAcentral's name for it is "armadillo segment polarity protein-like, transcript variant X6". The record is from RNAcentral. Lineage: Eukaryota; Metazoa; Arthropoda; Insecta; Hemiptera; Cimicidae.